This 253-nucleotide ribosomal RNA is filed under the name uncultured bacterium. RNAcentral's name for it is "partial 16S ribosomal RNA". It matches the Rfam family "Bacterial small subunit ribosomal RNA", at positions 524 to 776 of the family's 1533-position model. The record is from RNAcentral.
UACGAAGGGGGCUAGCGUUGCUCGGAAUCACUGGGCGUAAAGCGCACGUAGGCAGACUCUUAAGUCGGUGGUGAAAUCCUGGAGCUCAACUCCAGAACUGCCUUCGAUACUGAGAGUCUCGAGUCCGGGAGAGGUGAGUGGAACUGCGAGUGUAGAGGUGAAAUUCGUAGAUAUUCGCAAGAACACCAGUGGCGAAGGCGGCUCACUGGCCCGGUACUGACGCUGAGGUGCGAAAGCGUGGGGAGCAAACAGG